GAUGAACGCUGGCGGUAUGCCUAACACAUGCAAGUCGUACGAGAGUUUUUAACUCUAGUGGCGGACGGGUGAGUAACACGUGAGAAUUUGCCUUUAGGAGGGGGACAACAAUUGGAAACGAAUGCUAAUACCCCAUAUGCUUUCGAGUGAAAUGGAUUUUAUCCGCCUAGAGAGAAGCUCGCGGCUGAUUAGCUUGUUGGUAAGGUAAGAGCUUACCAAGGCGACGAUCAGUAUCUGGUUUGAGAGGACGAUCAGACACACUGGAACUGAGACACGGUCCAGACUCCUACGGGAGGCAGCAGUGGGGAAUUUUGGACAAUGGGCGAAAGCCUGAUCCAGCAAUGCCGCGUGCAGGAAGAAGGCC
This 364-nucleotide ribosomal RNA is filed under the name uncultured bacterium. RNAcentral's name for it is "bacterial SSU rRNA". It matches the Rfam family "Bacterial small subunit ribosomal RNA", at positions 28 to 416 of the family's 1533-position model. The record is from RNAcentral.